GACAGAGGGUGCAAGCGUUGUUCGGAAUCAUUGGGCGUAAAGCGCGCGUAGGCGGUUUUGUAAGUCGGACGUGAAAGCCCAGGGCUUAACCCUGGAAGUGCAUCCGAAACUGCAGAACUUGAGUACCGGAGAGGGUGGUGGAAUUCCUGGUGUAGAGGUGAAAUUCGUAGAUAUCAGGAGGAACACCCGUGGCGAAGGCGGCCACCUGGACGGUCACUGACGCUGAGGCGCGAAAGCGUGGGUAGCAAACAGG
Molecule: ribosomal RNA, 253 nt
Filed under: uncultured bacterium
Lineage: Bacteria
Description: partial 16S ribosomal RNA
Rfam family: Bacterial small subunit ribosomal RNA
Source: RNAcentral